Molecule: ribosomal RNA, 305 nt
Filed under: uncultured bacterium
Lineage: Bacteria
Description: partial 16S ribosomal RNA
Rfam family: Bacterial small subunit ribosomal RNA
Source: RNAcentral
ACAGCAGCCGCCACGGGAAUACGGAGGGAGCUAGCGUUGUUCGGAAUUACUGGGCGUAAAGCGCACGUAGGCGGUUAUUCAAGUCAGAGGUGAAAGCCCGGGGCUCAACCCCGGAACUGCCUUUGAAACUAGAUGACUGGAAUCUUGGAGAGGUCAGUGGAAUUCCGAGUGUAGAGGUGAAGUUCGUAGAUAUUCGGAAGAACACCAGUGGCGAAGGCGACUGACUGGACAAGUACUGACGCUGAGGUGCGAAAGCGUGGGGAGCAAACAGGAUUAGAUACCCCGGUAGUCCCUGUCUCUUAUAC